RNAcentral lists this long non-coding RNA (217 nucleotides) under Elaeis guineensis (African oil palm). RNAcentral's name for it is "long non-coding RNA (EGUI_LNC082622)". Lineage: Eukaryota; Viridiplantae; Streptophyta; Magnoliopsida; Arecales; Arecaceae. The record is from RNAcentral.
UAGGAGUUCCACUAAACCUGAUUUGUACCAGAGAUAUCUCUUUGUGCACCGCCUAUAUCUAGGAUAAAAUUUUUAUAGUCGGUCCGGUCAUGAAAGAGAUUAUGAUUGGACCGUCGUUGUCUAUCGCAUGUCCCUCACCCUACAGAUUACAAAACAGAAGCAGAGAGAGGAAAAAGAAAAGAGGAGAGGAGGGGAGAGAGAGGACGGUUUGGUGGCG